RNAcentral lists this ribosomal RNA (567 nucleotides) under Aureobasidium thailandense. RNAcentral's name for it is "partial large subunit ribosomal RNA". It matches the Rfam family "Eukaryotic large subunit ribosomal RNA", at positions 73 to 656 of the family's 3401-position model. Lineage: Eukaryota; Fungi; Ascomycota; Dothideomycetes; Dothideales; Saccotheciaceae. The record is from RNAcentral.
GAUUGCCCCUAGUACGGCGAGUGAAGCGGCAACAGCUCAAUUUGAAAGCUGGCCUUCGGGUCCGCAUUGUAAUUUGUAGAGGAUGCUUUGGGGCAGCCGCCUGUCUAAGUUCCUUGGAACAGGACGUCAUAGAGGGUGAGAAUCCCGUAUGUGACAGGACAUGGCACCCUAUGUAAAGCUCCUUCGACGAGUCGAGUUGUUUGGGAAUGCAGCUCUAAAUGGGAGGUAAAUUUCUUCUAAAGCUAAAUACCGGCGAGAGACCGAUAGCGCACAAGUAGAGUGAUCGAAAGAUGAAAAGCACUUUGGAAAGAGAGUUAAAAAGCACGUGAAAUUGUUGAAAGGGAAGCGCUUGCAAUCAGACUUGUUUUGACUGUUCGGCCGGUCUUCUGACCGGUUUACUCAGUCUGGACAGGCCAGCAUCAGUUUUGGCGGCCGGAUAAAGGCUCAGGGAAUGUGGCUCUCACUUCGGUGGGAGUGUUAUAGCCCUGGGUGUAAUACGGCCAGCCGGGACUGAGGUCCGCGCUUCGGCUAGGAUGCUGGCGUAAUGGUUGUAAGCGACCCGUCUGA